UGCGAAGCCGACAGGUUAUCCGAGUGAUUUCUGCUAAAGAAAUCUUUUGUUAGUCCUAGAAACACUAACGAAUAAGGGGUGGGCAAGUUCUGGUGUCAGCCGCCGCGGUAAAACCAGCACCUCAAGUGGUCAGAAUGAUUAUUGGGCCUAAAGCAUCCGUAGCCGGCUCUGUAAGUUUUCGGUUAAAUCUGUACGCUCAACGUACAGGCUGCCGGGAAUACUGCAUAGCUAGGGAGUGGGAGAAGUAGACGGUACUCGGUAGGAAGUGGUAAAAUGCUUUGAUCUAUCGAUGACCACCUGUGGCGAAGGCGGUCUACUAGAACACGUCCGACGGUGAGGGAUGAAAGCUGGGGGAGCAAACCGGAUUAGAUACCCGGGUAGCCCCAGCUGUAAACUAUGCAAACUCAGUGAUGCAUUGGCUUGUGGCCAAUGCAGUGCUGCAGGGAAGCCGUUAAGUUUGCCGCCUGGGAAGUACGUACGCAAGUAUGAAACUUAAAGGAAUUGGCGGGGGAGCAC
Molecule: ribosomal RNA, 516 nt
Filed under: uncultured crenarchaeote
Lineage: Archaea; Thermoproteati; Thermoproteota
Description: bacterial SSU rRNA
Rfam family: Archaeal small subunit ribosomal RNA
Source: RNAcentral